GCCGCGGUGAUAGCUCAGUGGAUAAAGCACCAGGUGAAAAGAUGGCGAUUACUCCGAGCGUUAUUAUCCGCGCGGGUUCGAAUCCUGCCUGUGGCA
RNAcentral lists this transfer RNA (96 nucleotides) under Aromia moschata. RNAcentral describes it as "tRNA-OTHER". The record is from RNAcentral. Lineage: Eukaryota; Metazoa; Arthropoda; Insecta; Coleoptera; Cerambycidae.